RNAcentral lists this transfer-messenger RNA (373 nucleotides) under Ferruginibacter sp. It matches the Rfam family "transfer-messenger RNA". Rfam says of the family: Bacterial tmRNA, also known as 10Sa RNA or SsrA, is named for its dual tRNA and mRNA-like properties. Its role is to liberate the mRNA from a stalled ribosome. Lineage: Bacteria; Pseudomonadati; Bacteroidota; Chitinophagia; Chitinophagales; Chitinophagaceae. The record is from RNAcentral.
GGGGCUGACCGGUUUUGACAGCAUAGUUCUUUGUAAGUGUAAGCAUGUAGUGCGUUGGAUAAUUAGCACUUUAAUCUGAAUAUUCAAAACUUCAAAUGGCAAUACUUCGUAUGCCAUGGCUGCUUAGUCGAUAGACUAGUAACCAUUAGGGCCGUUGAACGGGCUGGCCUGUUGCCUUGUUCUUCCGCCGACUCAAAACAAUAACGGGCUGCUGCAAUGGAAUGAUGUGACCAUUGUUUAAGACCAUUCAUCUAAGGAUCUGGUUGGUUUGUGUUGCUCCUGCCUUUUCCCGACAAAUAAUGCAACAAUAAACAUGUAGAAAGCUUACGGCGGAUAUGUUUGGACCAGGGUUCGACUCCCUGCAGCUCCACUG